Molecule: ribosomal RNA, 887 nt
Filed under: uncultured organism
Description: bacterial SSU rRNA
Rfam family: Bacterial small subunit ribosomal RNA
Source: RNAcentral
UUCGGAGCUAGUGGCGGACGGGUGAGUAACGCGUGAGAAUCUGCCUUCAGGAGGGGGAUAACGACUGGAAACGGUCGCUAAUACCCCAUAUGCCUCCGGGUGAAAAGUAAUUCGCCUGAAGAUGAGCUCGCGUCAGAUUAGCUAGUUGGUGGGGUAAGAGCCUACCAAGGCGACGAUCUGUAGCUGGUCUGAGAGGAUGAUCAGCCACACUGGACUGAGACACGGCCCAGACUCCUACGGGAGGCAGCAGUGGGGAAUUUUCCGCAAUGGGCGCAAGCCUGACGGAGCAAGACCGCGUGGGGGAUGACGGCCUAAUGGUUGUAAACCCCUUUUCUCUGGGAAGAAGACUGACGGUACCAGAGGAAUCAGCCUCGGCUAACUCCGUGCCAGCAGCCGCGGUAAUACGGAGGAGGCAAGCGUUAUCCGGAAUUAUUGGGCGUAAAGCGUCCGUAGGUGGUUAUUCAAGUCUGCUGUCAAAGCGUGGGGCUUAACUCCAUAGAGGCAGUGGAAACUGAGUGACUAGAGUGCGGUAGGGGUCGAGGGAAUUCCCAGUGUAGCGGUGAAAUGCGUAGAUCUUGGGAAGAACACCAGUGGCGAAAGCGCUCGACUGGGCCUGCACUGACACUGAGGGACGAAAGCUAGGGGAGCGAAAGGGAUUAGAUACCCCUGUAGUCCUAGCCGUAAACGAUGGAUACUAGGUGUUGCUCGUCAUCGACCCGAGCAGUGCCCGUAGCCAACGCGUUAAGUAUCCCGCCUGGGGAGUACGCUCGCAAGAGUGAAAACUCAAAGGAAUUGACGGGGGCCCGCACAAGCGGUGGAGUAUGUGGUUUAAUUCGAUGCAACGCGAAGAACCCUUACCAGGGCUUGACAAUGUCCGGAACCCCUCG